RNAcentral lists this ribosomal RNA (310 nucleotides) under uncultured bacterium. Its description in RNAcentral is "bacterial SSU rRNA". It matches the Rfam family "Bacterial small subunit ribosomal RNA", at positions 30 to 334 of the family's 1533-position model. The record is from RNAcentral.
AUUGAACGCUAGCGGGAUGCCUUACACAUGCAAGUCGAACGGCAGCAUAAGAGAGCUUGCUCUCUUGAUGGCGAGUGGCGAACGGGUGAGUAAUGUAUCGGAACGUGCCCAGUAGCGGGGGAUAACUACGCGAAAGCGUAGCUAAUACCGCAUACGCCCUACGGGGAAAGGAGGGGUCCGCAAGGACCUUUCACUAUUGGAGCGGCCGAUAUCGGAUUAGCUAGUUGGUGAGGUAACGGCUCACCAAGGCAUCGAUACAUAGCCGACCUGAGAGGGUGAUCGGCCACACUGGGACUGAGACACGGCCCAG